CCCCACCAACCCAGCCAAUCCGAUUGCGGCUUUCAACAUCGGCCUCGGUUGGCUUCCCGCUCGCUCAUGCUGACCGCGCAGUGUUCCUGGAAAUGACUGAAUAAGUGCCAAGUCCAACUUUGAGUAAUAGUCUUACAGCCAUUCUCUGACAGCUGCCCUGGCCACAACACUGUAAUUGUUUCCUGAGCAGGAAACAACAGGGUCAAGUUGUCACAGGUAGCAAGCUAACACAUGCACUUUUGCUCAUCACCCUAAUUCAAAUUAAACCAAUCCAUCUGAGUUUUUUUGUUUCUCUACCAAAGGAGAUUUGUUUGCAGAAACAGUCACUGCUUUACCAAGAGAACUGAGAAGGGAAAAGGAACUGCUUUACCAGGAAAAGGCACUAAUACACAAGGUUGAUCCAUUAAGGAGAGCUGGCACUGGUAUGGGCGUUGGUUUCAGAUAAGUAUACUUUACAGCCUCUGAAAUGUCUACUUUACCCGUAGGGCUGGUAUGACUUCCCCUUUUGAGUAAAGGUUUUAGCCACCCUUCUGUCCUCAUACACUUAUGUCCCACCUUGUUAAAUAUGUUCUGUGUUGGCCAGCACUGCUUUUUAUUUGCUUCUAUCCUUUCUUUCUCACUCAGAACAGAAUGCAGUAGACACAGCACAUAAAGGAAACACCUAAAGGAAAACAUCAGUCUGCAAAAACAGGGCAUUGCUGGAAACAGGGGUGAACUAAUUAAAGAGGAGACUAAAACAAAGGUUUUCCCCUUCAGAGGUGCUCUGCAAGUGAUUUUUUUUAACUGAACUUGUUCCCUUUUUUACUUCCUAUGAUACAAAGAACUUAGAAAACUUUUUCCUUUAUUAAAGAUUGUUCUGUUCAUUAUCUUAAGUGCCAGGAAUGUCAACUCUACUCUUCCCUAGUUUUGCUGCAAGAUCCACUUGAUAUCUCAAAGAAUGUAUAUUGUUAACUCUUACACCCUAACUUAACGGAUGGAAGAUGGUGAAUCUUUACUGUUUUGGAGAAAGAGUAUUGCUAGUGAUUCAAGUUAAAAAGGUGUUAACAAAAAAAAUUUAAACAGUCAUCAGACCUAUUUCCUGUUAUUUGUUUAAAUGUUAUUUCAAUCUUGGCCUACGUUUUCCAAACAUGGAUGCCUGAAGUUAGGUGCCAAAAACCAUAUUUAGCUCCUAAAAUAAAAAGUGGUGAUAGGUACUGGCAGCUCCUAGUGACUUCAGUAUGUGAAGAGAGGAUAUUCGUGAAACCUACAGAAGAAUUCUGUGUAUGAGGUCAAAAUAUUGCAACACAUGGAAUAUUGCAACAGUUUGUAAAUGAUGUGAUAAAGAAGUAGCUGGAUAUGGGUAGGAGGCUAUUACAUCAAAUUCAACACAGAACACAGCCUAUAAACAAAAGAGAUCAUACUGGAUUAUUUCCUUCUGAAUGAUCAUUUUAAAACAAUAUGAUAUCAGCACUGGCCAUGGCCAUUAUGAGUUUCAGAGUGUACAGUUAAAAUGCUAAUGGAUAUGAAAAGGGAAACUUGGCAACCAGUAGAACACUGAUUUUUUUUUUUAAAGCAAAAUGUUAAUUUAGAAGGUAUACUUAUGUGCUGGUCUCUUAUUACCCUUGCACUACCAUGUGUCCCUAUUAUAAGCUUCUCUUUGUUUCUCACAGCUAAUACAAUGAAGGGGGAGGCAAUGGCAAAUAAUGGGCUGAGUGACAUCAGACUGAAAAUGCAGAUGUCAGACAAAACGGAUAUACAGCUUGGCUAACGAAGCCAGAGCCUGCAGCAAGAAGUUGUCAAUAAUGCUUUGCUAUAUCAAGUUAUUUAACAUUUACAAAAUUCACUGCAAAAAUUUACUGUUAAUGCAACAUCGUUGUUGAGAAUUUACAGUAUCUGCAAAGGAGACAGGAAAUUCAGACUACUCCAGCUGUAACAAAACGCUCAGCAGCUCAGGUUGCUAUGUGUAUGUCAUUCUGGUGCUCCAGUCACUCAGCUGGCUUGCCAUUGAAUAAAGAGUCCAAUUUAAGGUCUCCAGCUUCAUAUUCAAGCUCUCAGUGGAAUCAGCCCAUGCAACUCGAGAGAUUGCCUCUCCCCAGAGUCCUUGACCUCUCAUGCCAGCUGCAGUCCACCAGAAAUAUCAGACUAUCAACCAAUAGCUCCUAAAGCUUUUAAAACAGCCUAAAGCAUCUAAAUUUCUAAUCUGGAAUUAAGGGCAGAGAGUAGAUGCCUCCUGAAUGCCGCCAUCCUGGACUGAGGCAUAUAUCCAUGCUGAUACUGUCCAACUAGGCAGCAAUCAUUUGACAGAGAUGCCAAUUCAAAUCUUUUGGUGAAGGCAAACAAUUGCCUAUCACGGAUUAUUAUUAUUUUUAUAUUCCAGAAGCCUCAAUCAGAUGUAGGCACCCUACAAACAUAUUAGAAGAUUGAAACUUCCCUUAAGAGCUUACAAACUAAAUAGACAAAUCAGAUGAAGAGUGAAGGAAAAGGAAUCACGCACACAAGCCGUAGUCAGUGAUAAGUGGCUAUGUGAUGUUAACUACAUAUGUUUUUUAAAAAACUUUUUUUUUGUUGUUUUUUAAAAUAUAAAUUUGGGAAUAGGGCAAGGGGGGAAGGAGAUGAUGUAAUAGAAGCACACGAAUAGUAGGAAAAGGAAGGAAGGGCAAGACAAUAUUGAGAAGGGAGGGAGGAAAAGGGAGAGAAAUACAGGAAGGAUGGAAGGGAACACUAUGUUUUCUAGGUAUGAAAGGAACAACUGCAGAGCAGUUCCUGGCAGAUCAUCAGUAUCACUAGUCAGCCUAAGCAGCAACCCAUGAUCAGUGGAAUUGAUUCCAAAAUCUGUUGAGAGGUCCAGCAUGAGAAUAAAUGCCAGUUGACCUCAAAUUAACAAACGAUCAGUGCCGUAACAAGGGUGAGGCGAGUGAGGCACUUGCCUCAGGCGCACAAAGCUGAGGGGCACAGAAAAAGACAAAUUAAGUUUUUUAAUUCUUAUUAUUUUAUGAAAAAUUAUAAUCACAUAAUAUGCACAUUGCGUCAUGACAAAUGCACAAUGUAAAUGGAAAAUAAACAGAAUACACCCUACAGUAAUUAUAAAGCAUUGGUUCUCAAACUGGGGGUCGCAACCCAGUUACGGGGGGGUAGUGAGCCCCAACCCCGGCUGCAAGUUGCAAGGCCUGAGCCCCCCGCCUGGCUGUGAGCCCCGACCGCGACGCAUGGCUGCGAGCCCCACCCCCUGUGUGGAGCUGUGGGGCUACGAGCCCCAACUGCUGCGCCAGGCUGUGAGCUCUGACCCCGACAGGGACGCACGCAGUGUUGAGCUCCCAAAAUCCUAAGAACCAGUUGCCUACCAGGUCCUCGGUGGCAUUUCGGUGACGGGG
Trachemys scripta elegans is the source of this 3350-nucleotide long non-coding RNA. RefSeq lists it as uncharacterized. The record is from RefSeq and is a predicted model, not a curated record. The transcript has 5 exons. NCBI's taxonomy places the organism in Eukaryota, Metazoa, Chordata, Testudines, Emydidae.